AACCUACAAAAGAAGUCUAAACCAGAGGUGGGGUUGCUCCGGCAAGACCCUCCGACGCUCAAGUCAGUUCUUUGCCUCAACAAAAAUGGAGUGCUCGAACGAAAAUUUUAGCAGAGUUUUGGGAUAGAAAAUAGAGCUUAGAGAAUAACGUAUCUAGGGUCCCCUUUUAUAGAUGGGGAGAGCAGAGGAUUGAUAGCGACUAUUUAUGAUCGCCUCAUCGUGGGCCGUACGGGGCCAGGAGGAAUUAAUCAUGA
This 254-nucleotide long non-coding RNA is filed under the name Elaeis guineensis (African oil palm). RNAcentral describes it as "long non-coding RNA (EGUI_LNC051807)". The record is from RNAcentral. Lineage: Eukaryota; Viridiplantae; Streptophyta; Magnoliopsida; Arecales; Arecaceae.